GCGUUGCUCGGAAUUACUGGGCGUAAGGGGCGCGUAGGCGGACAGUUUAGUCAGAGGUGAAAGCCCGGGGCUCAACUCCGGAAUUGCCUUUAAGACUGCAUCGCUAGAAUUGUGGAGAGGUAAGUGGAAUUCCGAGUGUAGAGGUGAAAUUCGUAGAUAUUCGGAAGAACACCAGUGGCGAAGGCGACUUACUGGACACAUAUUGACGCUGAGGUGCGAAAGCGUGGGGAGCAAACAGG
RNAcentral lists this ribosomal RNA (239 nucleotides) under uncultured bacterium. Its description in RNAcentral is "partial 16S ribosomal RNA". It matches the Rfam family "Bacterial small subunit ribosomal RNA", at positions 538 to 776 of the family's 1533-position model. The record is from RNAcentral.